UUUUUUUUUUUGGUUAAAACUUUAUGACUCUAUAACUUCUAUACCGUGAGGCCAAACUUGGCAUGUGAUACCUUUUCGGAAAGCCCAAAGAGAGCCCUCCGACGAAAGAAGCAAGACAAUGGAACUUUUCCAUUGACUUUUUGUCGACUCCAAAUUUUGACCUUUAAGUACUUUUUCGGGCAUUUUCGUGAUUUGUGCUAUAUUACGGACCCAAAAUUACUUUUUCAAGCAUUGUUUUCGAAUAUUUUUCAUGCAUCAAAGCUCGUUAAGACUAGAUGGGGUAUCCCUACAUGGCGGGUGGGACCCACGGCGAACGGUUCAUCAAGACUUAAAAAAAGAAUAUAUACGAUUGCAUUGCAUAUACUAACGGAUGCGAUCAUACCAGCACUAAUGCACCGGAUCCCAUCAGAACUCCGCAGUUAAGCGUGCUUGGGUGAGAGUAGUACUAGGAUGGGUGACCUCCCGGGAACUCCUCGUGUUGCAUCCCUCUUUUUUUUU
This 498-nucleotide small RNA is filed under the name Arabidopsis thaliana (thale cress). Lineage: Eukaryota; Viridiplantae; Streptophyta; Magnoliopsida; Brassicales; Brassicaceae. The record is from RNAcentral.